AAGAGAGCUGGAUGAAGCACUGCAGGCCAGUGAAGGAUGGGGAGACUUACAGGGUACUUCGGGCCAACAGGCACUAGCAGCCUUGCUCCUUUCUGGGUAGGACUCGGCUCUUCUGCUCCAGUCACAGUGGCCUCCAGAUAGAAGGCACGCUUAAGGCAGAGAGUCAACACUGAGUCUAGGAGGCUUCUCUGGAUGUUCUUGCGGUGGACAAAAGAAUCUCCUGCAGGAAUGUUUGAGAGAUGGAUGCAAGACCAGUACUGGAUUUGUGGAGGAACUAAGGGAACACUGCCAACAGGAGGGGAAGGCAUGAACCAGCAGAGAAUUAACAUGAAGGCAAAGAAAGUCAACUUGUUGACACUGUGGGUUAUUUCAAUUUUCCCUCUCAAAAUAUUGAAAAGGAGAAGACUUAUGUUUACCUUUCAAUGCUUUGAAAGACUUGCUUCUUAUUCCUUUUCUUCUUGGCUUGGUUUUCUCUGAGUUUCCAGACACACGGACUGCUUGGGUGUUUUGUCCUUGGCUUGGAGCUCCAGAAAAGACUUCCCAUGGGUGAGGGGCUUCUGCAGCCUUUUUGCGUGUGGCGAGGCUUCCUCAGCAUAUUUGGAAACUAAAAAUAAAAUCUGUUGGCCUCGAGCCUUAACAAGCUUUGCCUGUCUCUGCUCUGCAGCUCCAGCUGAGCGAAGCAGCCCUUCAGCUCCUGGUCUCGUACAGCCAUGGGCAAGUCACAGAAUCUGAGAGGAAGGAUGACACAAGGAUGUGGAUUCUGACAGGCAUGCUUCAUUAAGGGAGUAUCCUUUGAAGACCAUCUACCAUAUCAGGCUUUUUAGCCUGGAUGAAAGCCUAUGG
Long non-coding RNA from Manis pentadactyla (Chinese pangolin), 843 nucleotides. RefSeq lists it as uncharacterized. The record is from RefSeq and is a predicted model, not a curated record. The transcript has 3 exons. NCBI's taxonomy places the organism in Eukaryota, Metazoa, Chordata, Mammalia, Pholidota, Manidae.